AUAAGUCUGCAACCGGGUAGAAUAAAUCAAAGCACUCGUUACACAUCGUCAGGUCUUAGAAGAUGUAUAACGAGUGUACUUAUUUUU
This 87-nucleotide non-coding RNA is filed under the name unclassified sequences. The record is from RNAcentral.